This 366-nucleotide ribosomal RNA is filed under the name uncultured bacterium. RNAcentral's name for it is "partial 16S ribosomal RNA". It matches the Rfam family "Bacterial small subunit ribosomal RNA", at positions 338 to 701 of the family's 1533-position model. The record is from RNAcentral.
CCUACGGGAGACAGCAGUGAGGAAUAUUGGUCAAUGGACGAGAGUCUGAACCAGCCAAGUAGCGUGAAGGAUGACUGCCCUAUGGGUUGUAAACUUCUUUUAUAUGGGAAUAAAAUGUUCCACGUGUGGGAUUUUGUAUGUACCAUAUGAAUAAGGAUCGGCUAACUCCGUGCAAGCAGCAGCGGUUAUACGGAGGAUCCGAGCGUUAUCCGGAUUUAUUGGGUUUAAAGUGAGCGUAGGUGGAUUGUUAAGCCAGUUGUGAAAGUGGGCGGCUCAACCGUAAAAUUGCAGUUGAAACUGGCAGUCUUGAGUACAGUAGGGGUGGGCGGAAUUCGUGGUGUAGCGGUGAAAUGCUUAGAUAUCACG